Molecule: ribosomal RNA, 219 nt
Filed under: Triticum aestivum (bread wheat)
Lineage: Eukaryota; Viridiplantae; Streptophyta; Magnoliopsida; Poales; Poaceae
Description: partial small subunit ribosomal RNA
Source: RNAcentral
AUGCCUUCAUGCUGGACCGAGGAGGAGAAGAAGGGGGGCACGUCGAAGGUGCCGGUGGAGCGCGCCGUCGAGAUUGUUGAUGACAGCGACACGGGCGAGGCCGGGGAGGAGGUCAUGGUUGAUGCUUUACUGCCUGAAUAUGUUGACCGGGAACAAGAGGGUAAGAUGGAUGUGAGGGCGGAGGCGCAUGCCAUGGUGCAGGAUGUUGUGGAAGCCUGA